AUUGAACGCUGGCGGCAUGCUUUACACAUGCAAGUCGAACGGUAACAGGGUGCUUGCACCGCUGACGAGUGGCGAACGGGUGAGUAAUGCGUCGGAACGUGCCGAGUAGUGGGGGAUAACGCAGCGAAAGUUGUGCUAAUACCGCAUACGUACUGAGGUAGAAAGUGGGGGACCUUCGGGCCUCACGCUAUUCGAGCGGCCGACGUCUGAUUAGCUAGUAGGUGGGGUAAAGGCUCACCUAGGCGACGAUCAGUAGCGGGUCUGAGAGGGUGAUCCGCCACACUGGGACUGAGACACGGCCCAGACUCCUACGGGAGCCAGCAGUGGGGAAUUUUGGACAAUGGGCGAAAGCCUGAUCCAGCCAUGCCGCGUGUCUGAAGAAGGCCUUCGGGUUGUAAAGGACUUUUGUCAGGGAGGAAAUCCCUAGUGCUAAUAACACUGGGGGAUGACAGUACCUGAAGAAUAAGCACCGGCUAACUACGUGCCAGCAGCCGCCGUAA
RNAcentral lists this ribosomal RNA (500 nucleotides) under uncultured bacterium. Its description in RNAcentral is "partial 16S ribosomal RNA". It matches the Rfam family "Bacterial small subunit ribosomal RNA", at positions 30 to 523 of the family's 1533-position model. The record is from RNAcentral.